Long non-coding RNA from Marmota flaviventris (yellow-bellied marmot), 1156 nucleotides. RefSeq lists it as uncharacterized. NCBI's taxonomy places the organism in Eukaryota, Metazoa, Chordata, Mammalia, Rodentia, Sciuridae. The record is from RefSeq and is a predicted model, not a curated record.
UCUCACCUCCUGCUGUGGGUCUCACCUCCUGCUGUGGAUCUCACCUCCUGCUGUGGAUCUCAUUUCCUGCUUCAUCCCUCUUCAGUGGCUUCUCUGUAUCUCUCUCACGCUCUGGUUUGCACUCUGGGGUUUUGCUGGGUCUUGGGGUCAGUGCAGUUUUCCUGUGCUCUGAUGCUCACCUAGCCCCACUUUGGGUCUCUGCUCAAUGCAUCGUGUAUACCUGAAGGUCUUCCAACUUUGGCUUUUGGGAAUUCAGAUGAUGUCCAGAUCUUUGUGCUGUUUACAAACUGAGGUUCAGAGCAUGUCGAUCGUCUGACGCCGUCACUGCAGGAGGCGUUGGGGACAACCGUGGCUCUCUUUCCCCUUCUGAGUGGCAACCCACCAGGCUGGAGAAGCCGGAGAACAUCGAGCUUUGACUCUGUCUUGUGUGUGACAAGCACCGGCCUUUUUCCAGAGAUAGGUGACAUGUGUCAAGGGGUUCAGACCCAACCCACGGUCGUGCUGAUGAGGACACAGCCGCUUCUCGGCCCACAUGCCCGUUGGCCGCUGUCCCCACGGACCCUGGUUUUGGACGACACUCACUACUGAGCCAGUCAUUGCCCGCGCAGCCUCUUGGGCAGAUGUGCCAACCCCGCGCCCAGUACUCACUCCUCUAAGAUGCAGCCUCUGCUCCAGUCGGCCUGCAGCCAGCCCAGGGCUCCCGGACUCAGCCAGGGCCUAGGUCCACACUGCUGCUGCCAGAGCCGGUAGUGACAGCCACACUUCCGAACCCAGGCCCAGGCCAUUUGGACUGUCCAUGGUAAGGGCAGGAAAGGGCCUCCUGGGAGAGGGCGCGGGUGUAUCUCAUGGCCUCCAGAGCACUGCCCACUCUCUGCCCUGGCCUCCCGCCCGUCCCCACUCAUGUUUGCACGGCUUCUUCUGGGGCCUGUCGUCUGUGCAGGUGACCGCACACCGCGGCACCAAGGCCAGCUCUCCUCCCCCGCCCACCUCUACCGCCCACCCAUCUGGAUUCCCACUGUGACCUCCGCGGCCCUGACUGGGACCUGGGCUCCCCUGUGACCUUCGAAGGCUAACGCCAUAAGUAACCAAUUGUCUCAUAUCCACUUUGUACCCUGGAAAUAUUUUCUAAGAUAACAAUUAGAAUUUUGUUGUUGUU